GAGUUUGAUCAUGGCUCAGAUUGAACGCUGGCGGCAUGCCUUACACAUGCAAGUCGAACGGCAGCACGGGAGCUUGCUCCUGGUGGCGAGUGGCGAACGGGUGAGUAAUGCAUCGGAACGUAUCCUGGAGUGGGGGAUAACGUAGCGAAAGUUACGCUAAUACCGCAUAUUCUGUGAGCAGGAAAGCGGGGGACCUUCGGGCCUCGCGCUCUUGGAGCGGCCGAUGUCGGAUUAGCUAGUUGGUGAGGUAAAGGACUCACCAAGGCGACGAUCCGUAGCAGGUUUGAGAGGAUGAUCUGCCACACUGGAACUGAGACACGGUCCAGACUCCUACGGGAGGCAGCAGUCGGGAAUUUUGGACAAUGGGGGCAACCCUGAUCCAGCCAUGCCGCGUGAGUGAAGAAGGCCU
This 409-nucleotide ribosomal RNA is filed under the name bacterium enrichment culture clone ALO1_GLFRUDD03G98BM. RNAcentral describes it as "bacterial SSU rRNA". It matches the Rfam family "Bacterial small subunit ribosomal RNA", at positions 9 to 417 of the family's 1533-position model. The record is from RNAcentral.